RNAcentral lists this long non-coding RNA (2247 nucleotides) under Haliotis rubra (blacklip abalone). Its description in RNAcentral is "uncharacterized LOC124259234". The record is from RNAcentral. Lineage: Eukaryota; Metazoa; Mollusca; Gastropoda; Lepetellida; Haliotidae.
GACAGUGUCUGUUUUUCUCUGGUACUCUGUGAGGGGUGGACAGUGUCUGUUUUUCUCUGGUACUCUGCGAGGGGUGGAUAGUGUCUGUUUUUCUCUGGUACUCUGUGAGGGUUGGACAGUGUCUGUUUUUCUCUGGUACUCUGCGAGGGGUGGACAGUGUCUGUUUCUCUGGUACUCUGUGAGGGGUGGCCAGUGUCUGUUUUUCUCUGGUACUCUGUGAGGUGUGUGGACAGUGUCUGUUUUUCUCUGGUACUCUGUGAGGGUGGACAGUGUCUGUUUUUCUCUGGUACUCUGUGAGGGGUGGACAGUGUCUGUUUUUCUCUGGUACUCUGUGAAGGGUGGACAGCAUCUGAGACUCAAAUCAUUGGUUCGUCUUCUCUGACUGUAGAACAAUCAUAUCAUAAACCUGUGGACGUUAGGAGCAGAAGGAACUGUCUCGUCUGUGCCAGACUUUUGUUUUGUUUUCAUUUAUAGAUUGCGAUUCUGAAAAAUGUCAUCAGAAGGUCGACAAAGAAACCCAUUGUAGUGUGUUCUUUAAUCAAUGCAUCCUUGGGUUUUUUCAUGGCAUAGUUCGGGUGUGUGUAAGCAUUCUGAAUCAAAAUACUGACUUAUAAUGUCAAUUGCUGCUGGAAAUAUUUUUGUUUCCAUCAUGUGGGAAUUCUGUGGAUAUUGUUAAGUGGUCUUUGCUGGAGGUGUUUUAAAAAACUGUCAUUCUCAGUUUGUCUGGUUGAAUCUGUAACUUUUGGGGGCCUAUAUGAUUCGAAAAUGGAUUGUUCAGAUGGAGAUUACAUGUAAUACCAUAUUCCCUACCCGGAGUGCCUAGACAAUUUACAAAGAGGGCGCUAAACUAAAAUGUGUUUGAUGAUAGUUACAAUGAAAUCUGUAUGACAUUUGUGCUUAUGUAUUCUGUAACAUGUACAAGAAAUACUGACUGGCAUUUAAAGUUUUGGUCUGGGCAGAGUUCUCCAUUAAGAUUACCUACAGACGGGUGUAGAGUUUGGUCUGGGCAGAGUUCUCCAUUAAGAUUACCUACAGACGGGUGUAGAGUUUGGUCUGGUUUGGUCUGGGGUGAAUAUGGUAUGUUAAACAUGAUGGUGUGUUUUCUGUUUGAUGAGAGUGGGUGUGAUCAGAUUUAUUUAUGGGUGCAGCUUCUAUAUUGUGUCAGUCACAGGACAUCAUUCUUUGUGCCACAGAUUUAUACUUCAGCUUUGUGUACAUGACGUUCCCCCAUCACCUGUGAAUACUUAGUCGCGUUAUGUGGGAAAAUAGAUACCAUUAUUUAAAUUCACUCUUGCCUGCUGGCCCGCGACUACUAAAUUGUGCUUAGGACUGGUAAGAAUACAAUGAUAUUUGUCCUGAUAGACAAGUAGCAUAUGCAUGCAGUAAUUCUGAACCUGGUCUCAAACACUCAUAAGAUUGAAUGAAACAGGAAAUAUUUCUGUCUUGUUCAUGCAGGAUUCACUACUGAUUCUGAGAGAUAAUAAACUUGGAUUUCCACUAGUCCUCUGGACUUAUUUGGAGCUGUGACUGGCUUGCGGUUAACUAUUUUGGUUAGAACAGUAACUACACCAUACAUCGCGAGUCAUCCAUGGGGAACGUCAUGCAUACCUCACCAUGAAGGCUCAUUUGCAGACGUAUUUAUACUGUGUAUUAUCAUCACAACUCAUGCGACAGAUAGUCAUUGUAUGUUGAUAAUAAUACCAGAUUAGAUUAGCACUUAGAGAACGGGGUAAUAUAUCUUAAGGUUUCAUUCUUACUCUUCAAUAAUGGAUCUGUAUAUAGUUCUUUGACUAAAACUCCUAAAAAAACUCAAACAUCUGAUUCUGUCAUGGCGUGAGUGAUUACUUGUAGUCAUAUAAAGCAGGGGGCGUUGUUUGACUUCUUUGUUUGACUCUCUUAUUGGCCAUGUUAGAUGCUUAUUAGAUAAUUUUACCAUUUGAAUAUUAUUUGUUACAAAAUUUGACAUGUUCAGUUCCCUAUUAGAUGCUUAAGUCGAACUUGUAGUUGACAAAACUGUUUUAGAAUUUUUGCAGAUGGAAUUCUUUUGGUGCCAUUUUUCAAACAAGCUUUGCUUGUUUCAAAAAUAUCAGUUUCAUUUAAUUACAUGGUGCUCGCCAAGUGUAGACUUGCGUUACAUCUGUUACUGUGUUACCCGUUAUAAACGUCACAUUCAGCCAUCUUGUAGCUCUUCAUUUCAGGAUUUUGUUAAUGAUUUAAAAAAUAAUGCUGAAAAAUGAAACCAUCUUC